GAUGAACGCUGGCGGCGUGCUUAACACAUGCAAGUCGAACGGUGAACACGGAGCUUGCCCUGUGGGAUCAGUGGCGAACGGGUGAGUAACACGUGAGCAACCUGCCCCUGACUCUGGGAUAAGCGCUGGAAACGGCGUCUAAUACUGGAUAUGUGACGUUACCGCAUGGUCUGCGUUUGGAAAGAUUUUUCGGUUGGGGAUGGGCUCGCGGCCUAUCAGCUUGUUGGCGAGGUAUUGGCUCACCAAGGCGUCGACGGGUAGCCGGCCUGAGAGGGUGACCGCCCUCAAUGGGCCUGCGGCAGGGACCAGUAUCCUACGGGAGGCAGCGGUGGAGAGUAUUGCGCAGUGGGCGCAAGCCUGAUACGGCAGCCCCGCGUGAGGAAUACCGGCCUUCGAGUUAUAAACCUUUUUUAGCAGAGAAGAAGAGAAAGUGACGGUACCUAAAGAGAAAGCGCCGGCUAACUACGUG
Molecule: ribosomal RNA, 469 nt
Filed under: uncultured bacterium
Lineage: Bacteria
Description: partial 16S ribosomal RNA
Rfam family: Bacterial small subunit ribosomal RNA
Source: RNAcentral